AUUGAACGCUGGCGGCAUGCCUUACACAUGCAAGUCGAACGGCAGCAUGGAGAGCUUGCUCUCUGAUGGCGAGUGGCGAACGGGUGAGUAAUGCAUCGGAACGUACCGUGUAAUGGGGGAUAACGUAGCGAAAGUUACGCUAAUACCGCAUACGACCUGAGGUUGAAAGCAGGGGAUCGCAAGACCUUGCGUUAUACGAGCGGCCGAUGUCAGAUUAGCUAGUUGGUGAGGUAAAGGCUCACCAAGGCGACGAUCUGUAGCGGGUCUGAGAGGAUGAUCCGCCACACUAGGACUGGGACACGGCCCAGACUCCUACGGGAGGCAGCAGUGGGGAAUUUUGGACAAUGGGGGCAACCCUGAUCCAGCCAUGCCGCGUGAGUGAAGAAGGCCUUCGGGUUGUAAAGCUCUUUCGGCCGGGAAGAAAUCGCACAGGCUAAUACUCUGUGUGGAUGACGGUACCGGCAUAAGAAGCACCGGCUAACUACGUGCCAGCCGCCGCCGUAA
RNAcentral lists this ribosomal RNA (504 nucleotides) under uncultured bacterium. Its description in RNAcentral is "partial 16S ribosomal RNA". It matches the Rfam family "Bacterial small subunit ribosomal RNA", at positions 30 to 523 of the family's 1533-position model. The record is from RNAcentral.